GAAAAAGUAUGGGAUUUCAAGGGAUUAAGCUAAUAAAGGUGGUGAGCCCUUUAACAAGGGUAAAGAGAUUGUGCCCAAAGACCGGGAAUAUGAGUAUAUUGAACUCCUAGUAUAGCUUAGGAUAGUGUGUAGAUAACUGAUAUCGUCGAAGGCUAUAGUCGGCUUUACUACUCCAAAAACUGUAGGUUUACUGUCUUUGUGCACUUAUGUUCCUUAUGGGCCCAUGAGUCGCUAUAAAGUAAAUUUCAUAUCCUAGUUAUUUGUAUUGUAGUACGUAUGAAUUUAUUUAACUUUUACAUUACAAAAAAAAAAUUAAUUACCGAUGACUCUAUAAAUAUUGUUU
This is a non-coding RNA of Theobroma cacao (cacao), 343 nucleotides long. NCBI's taxonomy places the organism in Eukaryota, Viridiplantae, Streptophyta, Magnoliopsida, Malvales, Malvaceae. The record is from RefSeq and is a predicted model, not a curated record.